UACGAAGGGGGCUAGCGUUGCUCGGAAUCACUGGGCGUAAAGCGCACGUAGGCGGCUUUCUAAGCCAGGGGUGAAAUCCUGGAGCUCAACUCCAGAACUGCCUUUGAUACUGGAGAGCUAGAGUCCGGAAGAGGUGAGUGGAACUGCGAGUGUAGAGGUGAAAUUCGUAGAUAUUCGCAAGAACACCAGUGGCGAAGGCGGCUCACUGGUCCGGUACUGACGCUGAGGUGCGAAAGCGUGGGGAGCAAACAGG
RNAcentral lists this ribosomal RNA (253 nucleotides) under uncultured bacterium. Its description in RNAcentral is "partial 16S ribosomal RNA". It matches the Rfam family "Bacterial small subunit ribosomal RNA", at positions 524 to 776 of the family's 1533-position model. The record is from RNAcentral.